AGUGUUCUGCCAAAGCUGCCCACAGUCUUUUGUUCCUGUCCUACAUAGAAAAAUAGAGCUCUGUCCAGCUAAAUCAAGAUUGCUACUUUUCCCUCUUCCCUGGAGAAACCUGAGGAAGAAAAGUGUAUUUUUCCUCUGGAAAGCUGCUCCCAACCCUGGUUAGCUGGAGGCCCACAUUUGAAUGGCUGAAUGCUGCAGAAUCUUGGAAAGGCCUGUGUGCAGAGUAAACCACAUAACAGGUUUUAAUCUGAUAGCAGCGCAUCACUGGAAACGAGAGUUGAGGGUUGUUAGAGAACCAAGUGUGUCUGCUUUGUGAACUUCAUGGAAAACAAACCUGUGCAUACACUAGAUUUUUAUCAAGACAUUCUGUAAACAAAGACAUCUUUGGCGUAUAUGAAAUUAUAUUUGAAUUACAAUUUCCAACAUCUUCUAUAGGAUAAUGCUUUGAGAUUGUGCACCUUUUAUGAGCAGCAAUUCACAGUGACAUUGUGGCUUGUAAGGGAGGACAGAAACCUGCCACAAUUCUGUCAUACAUUGAGAUCAUGCUUUCACUCUAAAAUGGCUUAAAACCCCACACAGAGU
This is a long non-coding RNA of Zonotrichia leucophrys gambelii, 582 nucleotides long. RefSeq lists it as uncharacterized. The transcript has 4 exons. NCBI's taxonomy places the organism in Eukaryota, Metazoa, Chordata, Aves, Passeriformes, Passerellidae. The record is from RefSeq and is a predicted model, not a curated record.